RNAcentral lists this transfer-messenger RNA (398 nucleotides) under Bacteroidales bacterium OttesenSCG-928-K03. It matches the Rfam family "transfer-messenger RNA". Rfam says of the family: Bacterial tmRNA, also known as 10Sa RNA or SsrA, is named for its dual tRNA and mRNA-like properties. Its role is to liberate the mRNA from a stalled ribosome. To accomplish this part of the tmRNA is used as a reading frame that ends in a translation stop signal. RNAcentral also lists the same sequence under 2 other names. The record is from RNAcentral. Lineage: Bacteria; Pseudomonadati; Bacteroidota; Bacteroidia; Bacteroidales.
GGGGCUGACCGGUUUUGACAGCAAUGUUGAUGGACUUGUAAGCAUGUCGGGUAAUGUAGAUGAACCCGCUAAUAACUUCUGCAAAACAAUAAUUGGCGAAAAUAAUUUUGCUCUCGCUGCUUAAUCGAAUCAUAGUAGAUUAAAGCUUCAUCGCUGCACAAGGUGCGGCGACGAGACAUUCUGCAAGUGGAGAUGCCUAAUUCCGGCUUGAGUUCAGGGUGCACGCAAUUUUGGGCUGGCGAUGUUGAUGUUUCUAAAACGUCGCGAGAAAUAGAAACUAAGGAAAAGUUUGGGUGUGUAUUUCCGGGCUUUUUUCGAAAAUCAAUAAUAUACUAAACAUGUAGAAAGCACUUUUGUCAAUUGUUUGGACGCGAGUUCGACUCUCGCCAGCUCCACAA